Molecule: long non-coding RNA, 1504 nt
Organism: Oncorhynchus keta (chum salmon)
Lineage: Eukaryota; Metazoa; Chordata; Actinopteri; Salmoniformes; Salmonidae
Exons: 4
Source: RefSeq, a predicted model, not a curated record
CUGACCCAAGAUGAGCAUUUAGGGGAGACUGUAUCCUACCUAACUCCUCACACAGACAGGACUGGGACCAUCUGCUCUCCCUUAUCACUACUACAUAGAUAAACUGUAUCCUACCUAACUCCUCACACAGACAGGACUGGGACCAUCUGCUCUCCCUUAUCACUACUACAUAGAUAAACUGUAUCCUACCUAACUCCUCACACAGACAGGACUGGGACCAUCUGCUCUCCCUUAUCACUACUACAUAGAUAUAUAUAGAUAGAUAGAUAGAUAGAUAGGCUCCUGUUUUUAAAUUCUACACAUCGGAAGGAAGGAACCGGUUGUCACGGAAAACUUCUCAAAUCUGUGGGAGAUCAAAACUAUGGGAGAUCAACGCUGUGGGAGAUCAACGCUGUGGGAGAUCAACGUUAUGGGAGCUCAACGCUAUGAGAGAUUAACGCUAUGAGAGAUUAACGCUAUGAGAGAUUAACGCUAUGAGAGAUUAACGCUAUGAGAGAUUAACGCUAUGAGAGAUUAACGCUACGGGAGAUCAACGAUACGGGAGGUCAACAAUACGGGAGGUCAACGCUACGGGAGGUCAACGCUACGGGAGGUCAACGCUACGGGAGGUCAACAAUACGGGAGGUCAACGCUACGGGAGGUCAACGCUACGGGAGGUCAACGCUACGGGAGGUCAACGCUACGGGAGAUCAACGCUACGGGAGGUCAACGCUACGGGAGGUCAACGCUACGGGAGAUCAACGCUACGGGAGAUCAACGCUGUGGGAGAUCAACGCUACGGGAGAUCAAUAUGGAGGUGAUCACCAACAGUCAGCCAGCCAUGGACGAUAGAGAAAGGAGUUUUAGAUUCACGAAAGAUAACCGCCAUUUGUUUGAUUGGGUUCUGUAUGUGUGGCUUUGAUAUCAUACAGAGAGUGAGAUGACUGCCUCUAAUAGCAGCCCCUGUGACACACUAUUCCUGCACUACAUUUGACCAGGGCCCAUAGCUCUAUGUAGGGAAUAGGGUGCCAAGUGUCUGAAAUGGUACCCUAUUUCCUACAGGCCCUGGUCAAAAGUAGUGCACUAUGUAGGGAAUAGGGUGCCAUUUGGAACUUAUUAACUUAGACAAUAAGAGGAUUUUACAAUGAGCACUUUUUUUUUUUUUUUACCCAGAUAGAGAUGGGGACAGAACAUUCUGAUAGUGAUCUGGCCUCCUAUGGACAAUGGACAUUAUAUCACACUAACAAUGCAUCGGGGGUGAACCAAUAGUAAUAUCAUUCUGAUAUGUGUGUGUACAAAUAAAACAUAGAAUUUGUAGUAAAUGAAUAUUGUAAUACGGUAUUUGGUUCUGGGAAGAAAAAAAAAAAAAUUUAGUUUGUCUUUUUAUUUGAAAUACUGACUAUCGUGAUCUUUUGUCUCAUUUUUAUAAUGUUUUUUUGUUUGAUCGUGUUGUCAGAUCUCAAUCGUUCAAAUUACAAAGCUCCAAAUCUUUUAACCCCCCUAUAACUUGAUAGUACCUUGAUCA